RNAcentral lists this transfer RNA (72 nucleotides) under Ailuropoda melanoleuca (giant panda). It matches the Rfam family "tRNA". Rfam says of the family: Transfer RNA (tRNA) molecules are approximately 80 nucleotides in length. Their secondary structure includes four short double-helical elements and three loops (D, anti-codon, and T loops). The record is from Rfam by way of RNAcentral. Lineage: Eukaryota; Metazoa; Chordata; Mammalia; Carnivora; Ursidae.
GCCUGGCUGGCUCAGUUGGAGAGCAUGUGACUCUUGAUCUCGGGGUUACGAGUUCAAGCCUCAUGUUGGGCA